This 82-nucleotide transfer RNA is filed under the name Echinostoma caproni. It matches the Rfam family "tRNA". Rfam says of the family: Transfer RNA (tRNA) molecules are approximately 80 nucleotides in length. Their secondary structure includes four short double-helical elements and three loops (D, anti-codon, and T loops). Further hydrogen bonds mediate the characteristic L-shaped molecular structure. tRNAs have two regions of fundamental functional importance: the anti-codon, which is responsible for specific mRNA codon recognition, and the 3' end, to which the tRNAs corresponding amino acid is attached (by aminoacyl-tRNA synthetases). tRNAs cope with the degeneracy of the genetic code in two manners: having more than one tRNA (with a specific anti-codon) for a particular amino acid; and 'wobble' base-pairing, i.e. permitting non-standard base-pairing at the 3rd anti-codon position. The record is from Rfam by way of RNAcentral. Lineage: Eukaryota; Metazoa; Platyhelminthes; Trematoda; Plagiorchiida; Echinostomatidae.
GGCCUCGUAGCUCAGCUGGUAGAGCGUGCGCGUGCAAAGCGUAAGCGAGGUACAUGCGUGAGUUCGAAUCCCAAUGAGUCUA